AGCGAACGCUGGCGGCAGGCCUAACACAUGCAAGUCGAACGAACCUUUCGGGGUUAGUGGCGGACGGGUGAGUAACACGUGGGAACGUGCCUUUAGGUUCGGAAUAACUCAGGGAAACUUGUGCUAAUACCGAAUGUGCCCUUCGGGGGAAAGAUUUAUCGCCUUUAGAGCGGCCCGCGUCUGAUUAGCUAGUUGGUUGAGGUAAUGGCUCACCAAGGCGACGAUCAGUAGCUGGUCUGAGAGGAUGAUCAGCCACAUUGGGACUGAGACACGGCCCAAACUCCUACGGGAGGCGGCAGUGGGGAAUCUUGCGCAAUGGGCGAAAGCCUGACGCAGCCAUGCCGCGUGAAUGAAGAAGGUCUUAGGAUUGUAAAAUUCUUUCACCGGGGACGAUAAUGACGGUACCCGGAGAAGAAGCCCCGGCUAACUUCGUG
This 434-nucleotide ribosomal RNA is filed under the name uncultured bacterium. RNAcentral describes it as "partial 16S ribosomal RNA". It matches the Rfam family "Bacterial small subunit ribosomal RNA", at positions 29 to 507 of the family's 1533-position model. The record is from RNAcentral.